RNAcentral lists this long non-coding RNA (810 nucleotides) under Hordeum vulgare. RNAcentral's name for it is "long non-coding RNA (HVUL_LNC006971)". Lineage: Eukaryota; Viridiplantae; Streptophyta; Magnoliopsida; Poales; Poaceae. The record is from RNAcentral.
AAAGAUCCAAACAUAAUAUCAAGUCAAAUAUAUUUGAGGGGGGUAGAAAGUAAAGAAUGUGCCAAAUAUAAGAAGACUAUCCCCAAGAACGGUCCCCGUAGGCGCUACAUGGGGUGACUCACGGCCGAUGCUUGACAUUGGUGUUCCGUCCACCUACAUCUUCUCCGGCAUCCUCCUCCAAACCAAGGGACUCAAGCAGAUCCCGGUUCUUGUGCUGGGCUCGGAGUAUAGUUCAUCCAAUGAGUAGGGUGCGCUGGCAGCCUCGAUCAGGAGGGCAAUGGAUGUGCUCGACGAUGGUGAGGCAACCACGCGGUGGACUCCGGUGGCUAGCCCGCGAAGGAAGACAUAGGCGGAGAUAGUGCAGGAAUUUUGGGAAGAUGUCGGGUUUCCUACUCAGGCGUCGCCGUUCUGGGAGAGGCGAUCGUCUUCGCCUACAGAGUACAUCGAGGACCACACACGUAAGGAUUCUUUGUCUUGCAGGAGACAGGAAAAGGUCAUGGAAUAUGGUAAGAAGGACCAUUCAGGCGCUGAUCUACCACUUGGCUAACCGAUGGCCGGGCCACCACGCGGGAGAUCUUCCUCGUCUCCAUCCGGAUUGAGGGUGUCACGCCCUCCUAGUAUGGGCGCUUGGAGAAGCCCCUUGCCGCCUCGCCGUGUGACGCUGGCGGUCCUGCUCGGUCAGUUCUUGGACGCGGCCAAGCACGCUCCUGCAGGGGGCCGAGGUGGAUCUCUAAGCCAGAUUCAUCGCCAAGAUUGGAGAGGAUUACGGAGGUGACGGAUCCUGAUGGUUCGGAUGGUGGCCCCAAGCUG